This 440-nucleotide ribosomal RNA is filed under the name uncultured bacterium. Its description in RNAcentral is "partial 16S ribosomal RNA". It matches the Rfam family "Bacterial small subunit ribosomal RNA", at positions 338 to 795 of the family's 1533-position model. The record is from RNAcentral.
CCUACGAGCGGCAGCAGUGGGGAAUAUUGCACAAUGGGGGAAACCCUGAUGCAGCGACGCAGCGUGAGUGAAGAAGUAAUUCGUUACGUAAAGCUCUAUCAGCAGGGAAGAAAAUGACGGUACCUGAGUAAGACGCCCCGGCUAACUACGUGCCAGCAGCCGCGGUAAUACGUAGGGUGCAAGCGUUAUCCGGAUUUACUGGGUGUAAAGGGAGCGUAGACGGUGCGCCAAGUAUGUAGUGAAAUGCCGCAGCUUAACUGCGGAACUGCUUUGGGAACAGGCGAACUAGAGUGCGGGAGGGGUAAGCGGAAUGCAUAGUGUAGCGGUGAAAUGCGUAGAUAUGAGGAGGAACACCGGUGGCGAAGGCAGCUUACUGGACCGUAACUGACGUUGAGGCUCGAAAGCGUGGGGAGCAAACAGGAUUAGAUACCCGAGUAGUC